CGUAGGGUGCAAGCGUUAAUCGGAAUUACUGGGCGUAAAGCGUGCGCAGGCGGUUAUGUAAGACAGUUGUGAAAUCCCCGGGCUCAACCUGGGAACUGCAUCUGUGACUGCAUAGCUAGAGUACGGUAGAGGGGGAUGGAAUUCCGCGUGUAGCAGUGAAAUGCGUAGAUAUGCGGAGGAACACCGAUGGCGAAGGCAAUCCCCUGGACCUGUACUGACGCUCAUGCACGAAAGCGUGGGGAGCAAACAGGAUUAGAUACCCUGGUAGUCCACGCCCUAAACGAUGUCAACUGGUUGUUGGGUCUUCACUGACUCAGUAACGAAGCUAACGCGUGAAGUUGACCGCCUGGGGAGUACGGCCGCAAAGGUUG
RNAcentral lists this ribosomal RNA (371 nucleotides) under uncultured organism. RNAcentral's name for it is "bacterial SSU rRNA". It matches the Rfam family "Bacterial small subunit ribosomal RNA", at positions 526 to 896 of the family's 1533-position model. The record is from RNAcentral.